AGGUGACAUCUCUUCUUAUUCUUUCUUUCACCUAUCAAUUUAUUUUUCUUACUCCAUUAAGGAUAAUGUCAUUUAAGUUGAGGGCUGAGGGAUCAAUAAUGAAUCCUCGAAUAUGUUAGUACUUAGUGUCUAUGUACUUGAUUAUGCUUUAAACUUGAGGUUAAUCAGGUAUUUUAAGAAAUAAUUGAUACACAGUCUAAAGGAUUUUUCGAAUAUAUUAAGAAACCCAAUACAUGAUUAAGUUUAGAAUAAAAAUCAAAUUUUGAACAUUUCUAACCCUUCCUAUUAACAUCAAAGAAGAAUUUAGUUCUUGUGUG
Molecule: long non-coding RNA, 317 nt
Filed under: Elaeis guineensis (African oil palm)
Lineage: Eukaryota; Viridiplantae; Streptophyta; Magnoliopsida; Arecales; Arecaceae
Description: long non-coding RNA (EGUI_LNC014184)
Source: RNAcentral